AGAGUUUGAUCCUGGCUCAGAAUCAACGCUGGCGGCGCGCCUAACACAUGCAAGUCGAACGAGAAAGCCCGCAAGGGUGAGUACAGUGGCGUACGGGUGAGUAACACGUGGAUAAUCUACCCUCUAGUGGGGAAUACCGUUGGGAAACCGACGACAAUACCGCAUAAUCUCGAGAGAGGAAAGCAGCAAUGCGCUGGAGGAGGAGUCCGCGGCUGAUUAGCUAGUUGGUGAGGUAAUGGCUCACCAAGGCUCAGAUCAGUAGCCGGCCUGAGAGGGCACACGGCCACACUGGCACUGAAACACGGGCCAGACUCCUACGGGAGGCAGCAGUGGGGAAUCUUGCACAAUGGGGGAAACCCUGAUGCAGCGACGCCGCGUGAGCGAUGAAGCCCUUCGGGGUGUAAAGCUCUUUCGGCAGGGAAGA
Molecule: ribosomal RNA, 424 nt
Filed under: uncultured bacterium
Lineage: Bacteria
Description: bacterial SSU rRNA
Rfam family: Bacterial small subunit ribosomal RNA
Source: RNAcentral